Molecule: ribosomal RNA, 111 nt
Organism: Mustela putorius furo (domestic ferret)
Lineage: Eukaryota; Metazoa; Chordata; Mammalia; Carnivora; Mustelidae
Source: Ensembl
GUCUACAACCAUACCACCCUGAACACGCCCGAUCUCGUCUGAUCUCGGAAGCUAAGCAGGGUUGAGCCUGGUUAGUACUUGGAUGGGAGUUUGAGAAGUUCUUUAUAGAUC